UCGAAAAGUAGCCGCUGAUUUUCUGGAGCCGAGAAAACCURUGUUUUUGCGCUUAGGUUGCUUUUAUCUGACUGAAACUUUACCUAGAAGCUUUUGGAGCUCAGACACUGAGUCUUUGUUCUGCAAGGAACUGCUGCUGCCACUUAAGGAGAUCUCAGAUAAUGUCCCCGAUUGAAGAUCAGUGCUCGACGCACAUUAAUUUUCUUUCUUUUCUUUCUUUCUCUUUUUAAAGCUCUGCCUUCGACCUGUGGCGGAAUCACGCGGCAGUAGGGGGCAGAUAGAAGCCCUUUGGACGAGGGUCACCUCCGUCCUUGUUGUUCACUUGAGAGCAGUGGAGAGGAAAACGGUCCCCACUGGCGGACUUUGGCUUCUGGAGCCCCGGGACCCACCGGUCCCUGCCUCCCCACGCCUCCUCCUGGUCGCGCCUACUUUUCCCGUGGAGCGAGAGAAGCCUUCUUCCAGAGCCUGUGGGGUCGGUCUCCUUGACCCCUCCUGCUCCCUCCCCGGACCCCCUCCAGCCAUCGCCACCAUCCACCACCUCGGUUCCACUCAAUCGAUUUUUGCUGCAUGUUAACAUUUACUGCAACUUAGAAAAUGACUCGUGAGGCUGGGACCUUAAGUACCGAGAUUAAGGCAUGCGGUGGUUUCCUGAGAGCCCCAAGACUCGCCAUGUCAAAGCUUCCUCCUUCCAGAAGUAGCAAAGCUUCUGUCCCUCUGCCAGCAGUUUGCCUCAGCGGGGAACCCCCUGACUCGAAGUUCAGGGUAGGAACCUUUUCCCUCGUCGCUCUGGAAUAUGAAACCUAGAACAGUCCCCUCUGUCUUUGGAAGUGGUGGGGCACCACAUCAGAUUGUGAUUUGGAACUCAGACUAGUGUAGUCCAGCAAUUCUGCUUCUCUGGGUAGGUAGCAGGGUGGGGUUGCUGCACCYAACAGUAGUUUAAUGGCAUUUCCCUCUGCCCUACGGAAGGACUAGCCGGGCCUUCUGGGGCAUCACUUCACGCAGUGGUUCCCUGCAUUUGGUGGACCGCCAGUCUAGCUGACUUGACAGCUUCACCCCGCUGUGUGCGGGCGUGAGGGAGGGGGAGGGGAGACUGUGGACAGUGGUGGAGACCCUGCAGGCCAUCCUCGGUGCUAAGGAAGGGGCUUUGCCUGCUAGUGCCCUAGGCUACAGACUACAGAUCACU
This is a long non-coding RNA of Urocitellus parryii (Arctic ground squirrel), 1183 nucleotides long. RefSeq lists it as uncharacterized. The record is from RefSeq and is a predicted model, not a curated record. NCBI's taxonomy places the organism in Eukaryota, Metazoa, Chordata, Mammalia, Rodentia, Sciuridae.